RNAcentral lists this ribosomal RNA (392 nucleotides) under uncultured bacterium. RNAcentral's name for it is "bacterial SSU rRNA". It matches the Rfam family "Bacterial small subunit ribosomal RNA", at positions 28 to 420 of the family's 1533-position model. The record is from RNAcentral.
GACGAACGCUGGCGGCGUGCUUAACACAUGCAAGUCGAGCGGUAAGGCCCUUUCGGGGGUACGACGAGCGGCGAACGGGUGAGUAACACGUGGGUGACCUGCCCUCAGCUCUGGGAUAAGCCUGGGAAACCGGGUCUAAUACUGGAUAUGACUCCAUGACGCAUGUUGUGGGGUGGAAAGCCUUGUGCGGCUGAGGAUGGGCCCGCGGCCUAUCAGCUUGUUGGUGGGGUGAUGGCCUACCAAGGCGACGACGGGUAGCCGGCCUGAGAGGGCGACCGGUCACACUGGGACUGAGACACGGCCCAGACUCCUACGGGAGGCAGCAGUGGGGAAUCUUGCGCAAUGGGCGAAAGCCUGACGCAGCGACGCCGCGUGAGGGAUGACGGCCUCGG